AGGGAGAGGGAGAGGGAGAGGGAGGAGGGAGAUCGGGAGCAGGGAGCAGGGAAGGAGGGCGAAAUACAGAGGGAGGCGCACAACCCCCAGCUUAUGCGAAAUACUUACCCAAAACGACCCCGUUUUUAGUUGCUUCAACUAGGCGCACGCCUUAUGCGCCUUAGGGUGCGUUUUUUGCGCCUUAUGCGCCUUAGGGGUGCGUUUUUUGCGCCUCUGCGCCUAACCUGCAAAACACAAUGAAAUUUUCCUGCGCCUCACGCCUUUUAAGCCUCAAGGCGCGCCUGAGGCGCGUUUUUUAAAACAUUGAUUGUGAGCAUACUAGUUGAAUUAGAAUUUCAUUGUUUUGUGAAUAGACUCUUUAUAUAACCUAGGUGCGCGCUUGCCCACCAAACAUUCAUCAAAAUAUAUACUGUACAACAUCUUGCCUUACCAAGAAAACAGAACUAUAUGAACCGACUUUCAAAACUGCUGGAUUGAAUGUUCAAGCAGAGUUAACUCUUAAUCAUGUCAUCUCUCAAGUCUCAAUCACUUCACAUGAACCUAUCCAAAACAAAGCCUGAAAGCCGAGUAUCAAGGUACGUAGGUUUUGAUGAAAGAGAUAGAUCGAAUGGCAAAAUGAUGAAGCUCAGAGCUAGAGAGAAAGCAAAAUGAUGAUAUUUUUAAGUGGUAAUUUUACACAAUGGUUCAGUCUGAAAAAAAAAAUGAAAAAGAAGAAGAAAGAAAGCUAUUUAAGCUAGUUGAUAGUGGAUGUGGUUACAAACUUACGACGCAAUCGGCCCACAAGUAGGACUGAUAAUAGCCUCACUAUCAACAACUAAGCUAAUUAUAUUCAUACAAAACAACUAAGCUAAUUAUAGAAUUAAAUUCAUUUUACCCCCUUUGGUUUGGGGGUGACUUCAUGUUAGUCCCUACACUUUUAUUUUCAUCAAGUUUACCCCUUGAACUCUUCAAUUUCUGUCUACCGUGCCCAAAUUCUCAUAUUCCGUUUGAAUUGACCUUUAAUUAUCAGCAGUUAAGGUCCGAUUUGGACAUAUAAGGUCCGAUUUGCCCAAAUUCUAGAUACUGGCCUCACAGUUAAGGUUAAAAUUAUCAGCAGUUAACGUCCGAUUUGGACAGAAUAUAGAACAUUUGGUCACGCUUGAGGAAAAUUCAAAAGUUUGAGGGGUAAACUGAUGAAAUUGAAAGUAUAGGGAUUAACAUGAAGUUACUCCCAAAC
This 1216-nucleotide long non-coding RNA is filed under the name Fragaria vesca (wild strawberry). Its description in RNAcentral is "long non-coding RNA (FVES_LNC003998)". The record is from RNAcentral. Lineage: Eukaryota; Viridiplantae; Streptophyta; Magnoliopsida; Rosales; Rosaceae.